UGUUCCUGCAGAUGCUGAAUGAUUUACGUAGCUUAAGUACUUCGUACUUCUCUAAAAAGAUUGAGCUUAAACUGUUUCAAUCUCUCCUUACCGUCCUUUGUUUGAGGCUUCUCCAACGUAUAUCCAGUGGGCAAUUCCAUUUAUAGCAUCUCUUCACAUGCUUUGAUGCAAUUCUCAAUUCACAACCUAUAUUAUUUACAAAUUUAUUCUAUUUGGUCAUGUGCUCUCAUUAUUACUCAGUUCAGUUAUGAUGCACGGUGACCAACCUUUUAUCGCAUCAUGUCAGGUUUUUAAUAAUUGUGUCAUUUGUAUGUUAACAUUGUAUAGCAAUAUCUGCUGGCCACUUCAUCCUAUUCUCAGCGAAGUAAAAUCGUAUCAAGUUCUAGGUUCCCUUUUCCCCUGUUGCAUAUUUGUUUUGGGUUACUCCUUUUGUUUAUGGGACCAACCUAGAGCUGCAAUAUAUAUAACACCUAUUAAUAUCUGUGGAAGAUGUUCCCCUUUACAUUUAAUAUUCUUGGUUUCAGGACUAUGGUAUUGAUUUUGGUGAUGGCAAAGAUCCUGUUAAAGCAUUUCAGUGUCUAUGUGGAAGCAGAUAUUGCCGCGGUAUCAGGCAUCCGAGGAAACGAGGGAAAGCUGCUGCGAAAUGAUCAAAGGACUUGGUAGAAGAUACGGGGUUGAUGCACGCGUGCAUCACGGAACGAACUAAACUAAUAUCGUAGUAGAUUAGCUACAAUCUGUGCUUUAUUUUAGAACUUGUCUACUUGUCAGUUAGACUGUUCGAGAAACCUUUUGGUUUGUGAAUGGCGCUGAAGACCCAAAGUCCUACCUUUUGUAGUUCUUGGAAUCUGUCGCUUGUCAAAACAGUAAUUCCUUUUUCCGCA
This is a non-coding RNA of Oryza sativa Japonica Group (Japanese rice), 881 nucleotides long. The record is from RefSeq and is a predicted model, not a curated record. NCBI's taxonomy places the organism in Eukaryota, Viridiplantae, Streptophyta, Magnoliopsida, Poales, Poaceae.